GAGAAAAAAAAUCGAAAAUUUUAUUAAUCUGCAGAAAUUCUUGCCAUUACACCUUUGAAAACCAAAGCAAACGAUUACUAAGCAAAAUACCUUAAAUCAAAUCGGAAGGAUCAAAAACUAACUAAAUACACAGCAAGCAAUCAUUCAGUAAACUCAAACGGGCACCCACAUUUGAUCACAAAACAACUUGUACAGUAAACUUAAACAAGGUAACUCGGUACCUGACUCAUAAGCACAAAAACGAAACCACAAUCUGGAACUAAACUCGAUAGCUACACACUGCAGGACUCAGCAACUUGGAAUCAAGAAAAUACCCAGCAAGACUCGACUUAGACUCGGACAAACAACAGAAACUCAACAAAAACUAAAACGCAGGAAUACACAAAACUCAACUCAAGAACGAAGAACAGAACAGUAGCAAAGCUCGGGAAACGAACUGAUAGUACCAUGCAUAAUUAUCAUUUAAUAUCUAUAGUGUUGACAAAAUAUGAUAAAUAAAUAUAUACAAAGCUAGGGAGCAAUAAAUGCAAAGACUAACACCACACGGCACACCCAUGUGAUACACCCAUGCCACAAGGACAACAACACUUUAACUAUUGUACUUUUAAUUGACUUAACUGUAGCUUGACAGGAAGCAUGGAGGUGCACUACAUGAGGCCAUGACUUUAACUAUAGUAACUGUACUCCUUGCUCAAUAGUGCUCAUAUGGAUGUACUAUAAAUACAUGCAUUCUCACAGGUAAAAGGGGGAGGCUGACUAGCAUCAACCAUUUUUUCACAACGUGCAAAAUAUACACUCUCUCUACUAUCACAAAUAUUCACUCUUCAAAGCAUACAAAACACAUAUCACACCUCGCACAUUUAGAGUUUCGGCUCUCUGAUUACCCUACUUGUCAAGCAUUCCAAUCACUGAUUAUCACGCCGGAGGCGCUUCACGGGACACUCCCCCGUGCGGCGUUGUUUUGCAGGUUAGGUCGCGACCUGAGCUUCCCGGAACAGUGCAUUGGAACCCCCGACGAGAAAAGGAGUUAUCAUUUGGCGCGCCAGGAAGGGGCCUUUUUCAUUAAGAAAAACCUUCAUCACCUCUGCAGGGUCACAAAAAAAAAUUACAAUCUACUCCAAGUGGAAGCGGAGCUGCACGCUAUUUUAUUUUUACUAGCUAGUUAGACACUAUGCUAUUUUUUCGGGUGGAGCACCAUGUCAUUUUUCAAACAAAACAUCACACCACUUUUGUACGUGGAGCAACAUGCAACUCUUCAAGCGGACCAUCAAACCAAACCAAGCAAAUAAACAACAUGCUAAUAUCUCUCAAAGCGGACAAAAAAGCAACAUAUACAUGUCUCCGGAGUCAAGCAACAUGGCAACACACAACUAGCUAGGUCCCGCAACCAAGCAACAAGGCAACACACAACUAUGUCCCGCGAUCAAGCAACAAAGCAACACACAUCUCACAAAAGCAAGCACAAAGCAACACACAUCUCACAAAAGCAAGCACAAAGCAACACACAUCUCACAAAAGCAAGCACAAAGCAUCAUGCACAUAUUACAAAAAAAAAGCAACAAAGCAACAUGCAUACUCUCUCAAAUUCAAGCAACAAAGCAUCAUGCAAUCAUGCAAUCAAGCAACAAAGCAUCAUGCAUAAAAAAAAAAUUGCAGCUAUGUGAAGUGACGCAAGCACAUCGGAUUAUUCUUCAAGUCCUUGCAAUUUUGAUCCGGGUUUUUGUGCAUAAAAGGCGGGCUAUUUAAAUCAGCUCACUUAUAUUAAUUAUCUAAGCAAUUUUAAUCCUAUCAAAUAAGCAGCAGAAUGGCGGUACAAGCUCAUCAAAAAUAUUACUUGGACACUAAAGACAAAUAUGCUAUAUCCGGAAGCGGAACCCGCAAGUACAGGUUUUUCUCUGAUUACAACUCACCAUUUAUGAUCAUAAAUGUCAUAUUAUACAUGCUCAUUUUGUCUUAAUUUAAGUGGUCAUAUCAUCUUUACAUGAUUAACUCACUUGAUCAUUCACUCUCAUAAAGCAUUGCUUCAUAUAUUGUCAUUAAAUAAAACUCUUAUUUACUAGUCUGCCUAGUAGAAAAGGAGGUAUAAAGUCAUAAUAUUGAUCCGCUAGCUACAUGUCUCAACACCGCUUCCACCUUCCUCUAAUACUUUUGCCUUUUAUUUCUAAGCAAGCAAAUCAUCUCUUAUAUAUUUACUUAUCAGUCUUGAAUAUUGAUCCUACGGCACCAUGUACAAAUUUCUAGAUGUCUCAAAAACUCAAACUGGAUUAAUGCAAUGCACGCCAUCAUGGAUACAUCAAAUUUGACACAGUUGCGGCUACAAAAGCUAGCACAAUAUUUUCACAUGUGGCUGGGUCCAUUUCUCGGACAAAAAAUGAUACAAUAUUUCUUCACAUGGCUCGAAAAACAAAAGACUCUCACCAUUCUCAACUUCUCAGCUUACUUUAUUUUAUUUUAUUACUUUUUUCUCUUGUCCGGACAGAAACAAUAAAAUAGACACUAACCUCUUUAUUUAACCUGCCAAAUGAGUUCACUCUCCCUAUUCCUUUUCCGCAAUCUGCAUGAUUCACCAAUAUAUUGUCCGCUACCUUACAGUCUUCUCUGCUCUACCCAUUAUUGAGCACCACCUUACCCACAUUAUUGUCAACCUGCAGCCCAUGCAUUUAUAUUUAUUUUCAGCUUAGCAAUAUCUUGACACCUACAUCAAAGUAUAAUUAUUCUCACUUUUGGCACAGGCAAAUAAUCUCUAUAAAUUAUGAUUUUUAUAAUCAGAUAUUUUCGAGAUGCAAGCUUUCAAUUUUAUUUAUUUUAGCUUUUUCAACAAUCACUUGAUAUCUCUUAUAUUAGUUGGUGUAACACAUAUUACAAAAAUACCUUAUCACUGGAUUUAUUUGUCAAAAGAAAGCAAAGCUGCAACUUAGAAAGCCUACACAGUACCACAUAGCAUGCAUCAGAAAUUUAUUCCCGCUUACACUCUUGUAAAAACCUUGCUAAAGCAAAAUACAAGUUUCUGCCCGCUGUCAUAACUCAUAGGGGUGCUUGUUGGCCAAGAGUUCACCUUUUAAUAUAUUUCAUGCUACAAACACUUGCACAUUACAAUUUACGCAUUUAGUUAUAAAAAAAUAAAAAAAACUGUCCCAGAGCAUAAAGCAAAAUUUCAAAUGCACAUUUUCUUAAAAUUUGCACAUCAUUAUUUCAUUAUUUUUUAUUUUUAUUUCCCCCCCAUAAUCUUUGUUAAGUCUUGCCGCUACUAGCUAUGCUCCGUGUUUCAUCAGUAUUAUUGUUAACCAACAAGAAUAAAAUAUUAGACAGUAUUACCGCACCCAAAAUGCAUCCAUCGCGGCACCUAGAGGACACAAAAUUUAUUCAUUUCUUUAUUAUGUAUAGUAAAACUUGAUCCGGGUUAGCAAACGUUUCAAACUCCAUCAUGUCAAACAUGAAUAUUAUUUUACACAAUAUUUUCUUUCCUUUCUUUUACCCUAUUAACACUCCGAGGCGGACAUAGAGGAUACGGGCGUUGAUCUCCUAACUUAAUCUCUGGCUACAUGCAUGUUAUGUCUCCUGUACCGCUACCAAACCCAUCACCGAUUGCCGCUUGCAACUCUCUCCCGCAACACGCGUUGAUCUCCUAACUUAAUCUCUGGCUACAUGCAUGUUAUGUCUCCUGUACCGCUACCAAACCCAUCACCGAUUGCCGCUUGCAACUCUCUCCCGCAACACCUUUCACUAGCAUCAUCUCACCUCCCUUCGGCCCGCCACCUUUAUUCAUGAACAUUGAGCAGUACAUACUAGAGUAGCUUAUAUAAGACCACUAGACCAGCUCACUUCAACAUUAUCAUCUAGCACCUUGGAAUGAUCUUACACGGAGUAGUUUACACAUAUACCUAUGGCUAUAUCCCUACGUAUGUAAACUCAACAUUCACUAUAUGGAUUCAAAUCCUAGUAAGAACACACAUGCACACUCGUGCCCGGGCCCGUCAGCCUUUUGCAGUCACACACCAAGCUAGCUAGAUAUAGCAUAGAAAUGCAAAAUCCACUACCACACAUCAACAUACUUCUCCCGCUACAUCAUUCCGCCGUCAAUAACUCUACUAAUUCCAUAUGCUUUCUCCCAGCAAACCUAUGCGAACAUGCUUCUCCCGGUUGUUUACUCAUUGAGGCUUUUAUUAUUAUUAUUUCCAUAUGUCCGCUGUGAGCAAGACAAUGGUGUAGAUAUCUAUAUUUGUUGUUUUACCCAUCAACUCAUCUUGGACAAACCCAGCACCACGAUUGUCGCGUCCUGUCGUCUUUACUCAUGCCCUGUAAUAUUAUUUUCACAUAUCCAAAAACAACAUCCCACCUCACCUCUAACUAACAGUCCGCGACCUCCGCAACCUACCACACAAGUCACAAAAUGGUCACCAACUUUCUACUCUCAGCAUAAUUCUAUAACACUGGAUAUCUCUCUCUUUUCCCGCAACCUUUUUGACAAUAACUAUCUCUCACAAACAGGUAGCCUAAAUAUUCAAACAAUCUGGCAGUCUAAAAUCAUCAUAUGAUUUUUAUAUGUUACCUUCACACUCGCUCGUAUAUUUGACUAUGUUGCUGCACUUAUACUUUAAUUCUGCGAUAUUUGGAAGCUUUUCUCUUAUUUCCAUCAACCACUAGUUUCCUCGGCUAAAUGGCCCGUCCGCCAUGACCUUUUUUACUAUCCCGCAUUAAUAACCAAAGUACAGCCCGCUAACUCGCAACCAGUAAUAGUAUAUGUAUAUGCGUACGACAAGAUUAGUAUGUGUCCGCUACCUUCACCUAUGUUGUAUCUUAUACCGCCAUCAAUGUGUGCCGCCACCUCGUAUCAGCUGUUACGUUCACCCCUUUUGCAUGCAUUCCACCCAUCAGUGACAAACGCAAGAGAGUCGUACAUAUAUAUAAAAGAUUAUGGGUGGCAGACCGUCAAAAAAGAAGCUUAUACAUAUUUUCUAGUUGCAAUAACACCAACUUCAUCCCGGCCAUUCAGAAUAGCAAGACAGUUGGCCGCCACUCAAUGCAUACAUAUAUGUGUGUCUAGGUAACAUAUUUUUAAUCACUACAAGGCAUAUCACUUUUAUUAACUUUCACCUUAAUUAAUUAGCUUUCAAGCCCAUCACUUUUAUGUGUAUUGCAUAUGUUCUUAUAAAAUCUGCUACCUCACUAGCUCAAAGAGACCUUACCUGCUAUUUUAUUCUUGUGACCCGCCAAGUCUCAGACACCGCUAUCAAAUGACUGCAUGCGCUGAUUACAUUACAUAGCAUGCACACGUGUGAUCCAUGCAAUACAAGCUUAUCUAUUUUGACUUAUAUAUAUAUAAACUAUUUACGCGUUCUUGUUUUUAUAAUUUAUCUUGCAUGUAUUGAAAUAUUUGUCAUCCUUUCACUUAAAUUUAUUUUCUGCUCCAUACAUCACUUGCUCUUGUUAAUCGUAUGUUUUAGUCUUGUACAUCCGUGCAAUAAUCUUUCACAUAUUUAGGCAAAAUUCAUACAAGCACAAUAUUUUUUCACAAAAUUUUUUAUCUCUCAAGUGUUGUCCGGGGGGCAACCAAGCACAAUUUUCACAAAAUUUUUUAUCUCUCAAGUGUUGUCCGGGGGACAACCAAGCACAAUUUUCACAAAAUUUUUUUUAUCUCUCAAGUGUUGUCCGGGGAGCAACUAAGCACAAUUUUCACAAUUUUUUUUUAUCUCUCAAGUGUUGUCCGGGGGGCAACCAAGCACAAUUUUCACAAAUUUUUUUUUCUCUCAAGUGUUGUCCGCAACCAACACUGGGGGGCAACCAAGCACAAUUUUUUCACAAAAUUUUAUAUUUUCGUGUUGUCUGCGCCCAACACUUGGAAGCCCCGAAACAAUCUACUUUUCUUCAAACUUGUCCCAACUCAAUUUUCUUUUUUCUUACUUACUCCUCCCAUACGCUAAAGCAAAUGGAAUGAGUAGGGGGGCAAUGAUAGUACCAUGCAUAAUUAUCAUUUAAUAUCUAUAGUGUUGACAAAAUAUGAUAAAUAAAUAUAUACAAAGCUAGGGAGCAAUAAAUGCAAAGACUAACACCACACGGCACACCCAUGUGAUACACCCAUGCCACAAGGACAACAACACUUUAACUAUUGUACUUUUAAUUGACUUAACUGUAGCUUGACAGGAAGCAUGGAGGUGCACUACAUGAGGCCAUGACUUUAACUAUAGUAACUGUACUCCUUGCUCAAUAGUGCUCAUAUGGAUGUACUAUAAAUACAUGCAUUCUCACAGGUAAAAGGGGGAGGCUGACUAGCAUCAACCAUUUUUUCACAACGUGCAAAAUAUACACUCUCUCUACUAUCACAAAUAUUCACUCUUCAAAGCAUACAAAACACAUAUCACACCUCGCACAUUUAGAGUUUCGGCUCUCUGAUUACCCUACUUGUCAAGCAUUCCAAUCACUGAUUAUCACGCCGGAGGCGCUUCACGGGACACUCCCCCGUGCGGCGUUGUUUUGCAGGUUAGGUCGCGACCUGAGCUUCCCGGAACAGUGCAUUGGAACCCCCGACGAGAAAAGGAGUUAUCAUGAACAAAGGCGACUCUAUGAUUCAACAACCUAGCAAUCAGAUAAAACGCAGCAAUGACUCGGGCGUUUGCUCGAAUACUCAAAAUAAAACUAAAGACUCAGCUAUUCUACAACUCAAAACAGAACUCAGCUUCGAACAAAAACCAUGAAAAUCAGAACCCAGACUAAAAGAAACUCAACAAGCAAACGCAUAAAACGCAGCGACUCAGUAAACACUCGGACUUGACUCACUAAAAUCAUAUAAUCAAACAGCAAAAACAACAAACUCAGCUCGUCGAUUCACAGAACAAAACUCACAACUCAUCUAAACACUCGAUUAAAUACAACCCAAAACAAAAGACUCAACUAAGACCAUCUGCAGAACUCGACAAAGCAAACCACACUAAAACUCAGCAUUAAAAACAAAGAACUCAACUCAGAUGAAACUCGGAAACAAACAAAUACAAGCAAACGAUUCAGCUAAAUAGAGAUGAUGACUCAGACUCGAAGCGAUUCAGAGCUAACUCGUACAAAACUCGGUGGAGACGUGCGUGACUCGGUGAGAAAGCAGAGCUCGGCGAUAUGAUUCAGUAAAAUAGGAAAAAGGGUUGGCUGGGGUUAUGUUUAAGAAGGAAACAAAGCAAG
Molecule: long non-coding RNA, 7167 nt
Filed under: Daucus carota (carrot)
Lineage: Eukaryota; Viridiplantae; Streptophyta; Magnoliopsida; Apiales; Apiaceae
Description: long non-coding RNA (DCAR_LNC007578)
Source: RNAcentral